Erinaceus europaeus (western European hedgehog) is the source of this 327-nucleotide unclassified non-coding RNA. Its record names the gene 7SK. It matches the Rfam family "7SK RNA". Rfam says of the family: 7SK was discovered as an abundant small nuclear RNA in the mid-70s but a possible function has only recently been suggested. Two independent studies have found that 7SK RNA binds the CDK9/cyclin T complex (known as elongation factor P-TEFb). NCBI's taxonomy places the organism in Eukaryota, Metazoa, Chordata, Mammalia, Eulipotyphla, Erinaceidae. The record is from Ensembl.
GGAUUUGAGGACAAACUGGUUGCGACAUCUGUCACCCUGUUGAUUGCCAGCGCUGAUUCCUCUGACCUGCCUGACUAGGCGGUGUCCCCUUCCUCCCUCACCGCUCCGUGCGCACCCAAGCUGUGUGCACUCAGUAGAAGAGGAUCCCAUUCACCAAACAGAGACUGACCUGUCUUUGGUCAAGGGUAUGUGAGUACCUGCGCUCCUCUGUUAGAAGCUCCAAACAAGCUCUCAAGGUCCACUUGUAGGAGAACAUAGGGUAGUCAAGUUUCCAAGACUCCAGACACAUCCAAAUGAGGUGCUGCAUGUGGCAGUCUGCCUUUCUUC